ACAAUCGGUAUCUCUUACCCUCGACAUCACACAAACCUUUCCACCCAAAACUCCCACCACAUUCAACCGAUCUCCAAAGCAACAUGUUCUUAAAGAAUCUGGAAAAGGUAUCUCCUUGAAUCUCUCUGAACACAAAUCAAAUGCCAAUAUCAAUUGUGUCAACUUCCCACCAAUAUAAGUAUAACAAAACCAAUGAAGAUGGCCUUCAUGCCCAUCUACACAAACUAAAUCUAGAUCUCUAAUGCAUUGCAGGUGUGAUGGAAUUCUUUGAGAUACCAACUCCCAGGAACCUUUACCUUUUCUCAGGCUAUAAACCUCAACUGGUGCUAUUCUUCGUGGGUCGAAAAGCUCUGUAAGCUUAACAACUUUGUAAUCAUCGGUUUUGGGAUCAUACCCAAACAGGAAAUUGAUAUUUCUUGAUUCAGAGGAGGAGCCCAUGGAACAUGGCGGAAGAGUUAAGAAAGCGGAGAGAGAAUGGUUCUGAAUACAAAC
RNAcentral lists this long non-coding RNA (492 nucleotides) under Lactuca sativa (garden lettuce). Its description in RNAcentral is "long non-coding RNA (LSAT_LNC008033)". The record is from RNAcentral. Lineage: Eukaryota; Viridiplantae; Streptophyta; Magnoliopsida; Asterales; Asteraceae.